RNAcentral lists this unclassified non-coding RNA (222 nucleotides) under Hevea brasiliensis (rubber tree). Lineage: Eukaryota; Viridiplantae; Streptophyta; Magnoliopsida; Malpighiales; Euphorbiaceae. The record is from RNAcentral.
AUUAUGGACAAGGACCUGCUCAGGUUGGCUAGAUUGUGUUAUUUGCAUACGUCUUUCAUUAUCUGUAUGCCAUUUCGAUUGUUUAUAAACAAUCCAUUCUUCCUUCCGUUCGUUUAUAUACAUUUAGCUAUCAUUUACAUGGUUUAUUGUUUGUGGCUGCUUUAAAAUGUUCUAUGUUGGUGAUGCAGAACUGUAUCAGGAGUCAAAAUGAAGAAAGAGUAU